AGAAGAAUGGUUUCAAAGAUCUUGAGUAUUGCUCUUCUUCUAUCCAUGUUUCUUCUACUUCUUUGCUUCUCAUGAAACUGGAGUCGCUGAGGCUACUAGCCGGAAACUAGAAGAACUUAAGAAAGGAAAAAUUGGCACCCCACCAUCUAAAUCAUGCCGAGGUAGAACGCGAGGAGGAGGAUCAUCUCGAGGGUGGAGGAAGAGACCGUGUCCACGUUUUGCAAGAACAUCCCCUAUACACCCUUGAAUAAUGGAGAAUAAGAGAUCGCUCGGUCAUAUUGCGUCACCAAAUGAAAUCUCAAACCGAAGAUUCAUAUGUUAUUUACAAAACAAAAAUUAUCCAAUGAUGUGUGAUAUGCAGGGGCAGACGUACGCUUUAGUUUGUGUGGCACGUGCCACAUGCUAAAUCCUGAAGAAAAAAAAAUUUGCAAUAGGAUUUUAGUUAUCAUAGUUCAGAAAAUAAUAACACUUAAUUAUUGUGCUA
Molecule: long non-coding RNA, 484 nt
Organism: Camelina sativa (false flax)
Lineage: Eukaryota; Viridiplantae; Streptophyta; Magnoliopsida; Brassicales; Brassicaceae
Source: RefSeq, a predicted model, not a curated record